GGAAAGCUUACCAGGACAAGACAUGAGAAGGAUUGACAGACUGAUCGCUCUUUCUUGAUUUUAUGGGUGGUGGUGCAUGGCCGUUCUUAGUUCGUGGAGUAAUCUGUCUGGUUAAUUCCGUUAACGAACAAGACCUUAACUUGCUAAUUGGGGUGUAUAUUUAAUAUGCAUUUUCUUUUAGAAGGACGGUGUAUUCAUAGUACAAGGAAGCGUGAGGCAAUAA
RNAcentral lists this ribosomal RNA (223 nucleotides) under uncultured eukaryote. Its description in RNAcentral is "partial 18S ribosomal RNA". It matches the Rfam family "Eukaryotic small subunit ribosomal RNA", at positions 1208 to 1456 of the family's 1831-position model. The record is from RNAcentral.